CUGCUGUGUUCUGUAUGAAACUAAAUUAAACUUAUAUGAAACCAGAUGAAACUAUGAAGUAUGAAUGUUCCAUCGGAAAUAUUGAAACCACUCCAGUUUUAUUGAUACACGAAUUGUAUUUGAAAUAAUUUGCACCAUAACUCAACCUCAACUCUACAACAAUGUAGAACAACUGAAGAAACAUUCAGUGACAGCAACACCUACCUACGUGAAUAACCAUAAGAAGAAUUCCAAUCUCCAGUCUAAAUGAGGAUUGACAUUCAUUUCAGUUCCAGAUUAGGCAGCAAAAUAUCAGUGUUGAAGAAAAGCAAUGUUCUAAGCAGGAAAAUAGGCCUGAAUGUCCACCAUCCAUUGCUAGCUGUUAACCUUUUCAUUCAACAUUUUCUACAGCCAAUUUCUAAAAAUGUGAACAACAAGAUUAUAGAACUCUGGAAUCUCUAGGUCAAGACCGACAUGGGCGUGAAUGCUGCUGGCCAAGACGCAAUUUGAAAAGCCCCUCUAUCAUAAGCUAUACCAAGCUAUUUGAGGCAGGUUAUUCCCACUGUACAGUUGACAAAUGAGCAUAAGAACAAUUUGCUAAAGAGGAAUUUCAAACGAUUGUCAAUAUUGAGGAAGAAGGUGACGGUUCGAUGGAAUCAAAACAAGACAAAAUAGAAGCUCUCAUCAAAUUUGAGAACAUGCUCCUCAAGUUGCGAGUCUUCCGCCAUCCUGCGUGAUUGUUUAAAUUCUUGUGAAAUGCCCACUUUUUACGACACCAAAACCGAAAAGCUAAAAAGCUAAAGUCCCACUUCUUUCUCUGGUGAAGUUACGUCGCAUCUAGCUGACUGGUCUAAGGAUGGGUCCUUCCAAGAAAAACGAAAAGGACAACACGGUCAACGAUGGUUCUCUGUUAGCUAACCCUAUGCCCUUUAGCUGCUACCCUUUGAAAAUCUUCAGCGCAGCGAUACUGGAAUAGUGGAAUACCAACUGCAGCAUCACCUUCAACCGCACGCCAUUCAGUCAGCAAUACUCUUCCGUCGCCCUUGAGCAUAGGAGAGUAGGGCGUGCUACCAAUUAUCAUUCGACUUCCCAACCUACAGCCGGGUGGUCAACUCCCCACUGCUUACAAACACAAACGGAAUAUUGAUCUUUAGAUUGUUUGACUGUUUGUCCAUUUGUGAUGACGCCAUGUCGGUUUCUUGGGGCAGACGAGGUGAUGAUGAUUUUCGUCAGGAGAAUAUUGCUCGGAUGUCGUCAAAAGCCAUCCGUUCCUUGAGAUCCUUGGGCGAAUACUGGCUUUUGUUCCUGACAAAAGAGUGAAUUCCACUAACGUUCUGCUCCACCCGUAUCUUCGCGACGUACACUCAGCCAGCUUCAUUGCUUCACUGAGCACUUCCUAUGCUGCACAACUUUUCUUGCUUCACUGACAAGUUGGAUCACUUCAGUGUUCGCUUUCGUCCGCUGUGACACACCUGCAGUCACUCGCCACGGGAUUAUGCCCAGGUAAUGCAUAGGAGACGUCGAGGAGAUGGACACCAAAACAUCUCCAAAAUGUCAGCGCGG
Molecule: long non-coding RNA, 1542 nt
Organism: Daphnia pulicaria
Lineage: Eukaryota; Metazoa; Arthropoda; Branchiopoda; Diplostraca; Daphniidae
Exons: 8
Source: RefSeq, a predicted model, not a curated record